UUCUGGGUGGCAGAAGUUUUAUGCGAUAGGUUUAAGCCUUAUAGAUAGGAGUGUUCCUCUCAGAAA
Non-coding RNA from Mya arenaria, 66 nucleotides. The record is from the annotation of a RefSeq genome assembly. Lineage: Eukaryota; Metazoa; Mollusca; Bivalvia; Myida; Myidae.